AUGGAGGCAAAGAGGCCAAGGUCGGCCGCCAUGGCCGCGCUGUGCGUGCUCCUCCUCCUGGUGCUGCUGCCCGGGGAGGUGGCCGCCAAGUCCAAGUUCUGCCGGUGCUUCGACGACUGCUUCCCCGGGUGCGUGAACAAAAAGGUGCCGCACUUCCUCUGCCAACUGUUCUGCGCCAACAAGUGCAGCCCCAAACAGGCGGCCGUCCGCGGCGACGCCAUGUGCAGGAUGGCCUGCAGCAAGCUGGGCAUCAAAAUCUGCGGCUGGUCAGCAGCGCUGGCUGAUGCAACUGACGCCCAAGUCUGCGCGCAGAACUGCAACAGGAGACUGAGGCACAUGGCCCGUACCAAUUAA
Molecule: ribosomal RNA, 354 nt
Filed under: Triticum aestivum (bread wheat)
Lineage: Eukaryota; Viridiplantae; Streptophyta; Magnoliopsida; Poales; Poaceae
Description: partial small subunit ribosomal RNA
Source: RNAcentral